RNAcentral lists this unclassified non-coding RNA (348 nucleotides) under soil metagenome. RNAcentral describes it as "partial contains 5.8S ribosomal RNA, internal transcribed spacer 2, and large subunit ribosomal RNA". The stretch from base 1 to 120 matches the Rfam family "5.8S ribosomal RNA", at positions 35 to 154 of the family's 154-position model. The record is from RNAcentral.
GAUGAAGAACGUAGCAAAAUGCGAUAAGUAAUGUGAAUUGCAGAAUUCAGUGAAUCAUCGAAUCUUUGAACGCACAUUGCGCCCGCUGGUAUUCCGGCGGGCAUGCCUGUUCGAGCGUCAUUUCAACCCUCAAGCCCCCGGGUUUGGUGUUGGGGAUCGGCUCUGCCCUUCUGGGCGGUGCCGCCCCCGAAAUACAUUGGCGGUCUCGCUGCAGCCUCCAUUGCGUAGUAGCUAACACUUCGCAACUGGAACGCGGCGCGGCCAUGCCGUAAAACCCCAACUUCUGAAUGUUGACCUCGGAUCAGGUAGGAAUACCCGCUGAACUUAAGCAUAUCAAUAAGCGGAGGA